This 205-nucleotide unclassified non-coding RNA is filed under the name Hevea brasiliensis (rubber tree). Lineage: Eukaryota; Viridiplantae; Streptophyta; Magnoliopsida; Malpighiales; Euphorbiaceae. The record is from RNAcentral.
GGCUCCUUGAGGUAUAAUUAACGUUGUAAUUUAAUUUACUUUUCUAGGUAGGCAUCCUUUAAUGCACAUUUUAGGCUGCUUCAACCAAAAAAAUUGUAAUGCUUGAAGUUAUGCAGUAACAUACAAUGCAUCCCAAAGUAUUUAUGUAAAACAUGAUACAUAAUCCUAAAUAAAAGUAUAAUUUAACCUCAAAUUUGUGUCUGUG